GAGAGUAUAGCUCAAGUGGUAGGGCACAUGCUUCGUGUGCAUGAGGUUCAGGGUUCAGUCCUCAGUACCUUCC
RNAcentral lists this transfer RNA (73 nucleotides) under Camelus bactrianus (Bactrian camel). It matches the Rfam family "tRNA". From Rfam's summary of the family: Transfer RNA (tRNA) molecules are approximately 80 nucleotides in length. Their secondary structure includes four short double-helical elements and three loops (D, anti-codon, and T loops). RNAcentral also lists the same sequence under 2 other names. Lineage: Eukaryota; Metazoa; Chordata; Mammalia; Artiodactyla; Camelidae. The record is from Rfam by way of RNAcentral.